Molecule: non-coding RNA, 603 nt
Organism: Onthophagus taurus
Lineage: Eukaryota; Metazoa; Arthropoda; Insecta; Coleoptera; Scarabaeidae
Source: RefSeq, a predicted model, not a curated record
UAAUAUCGAUUAUUUGACAUUUAAGGUUAUGUCAUUCUUAAUUGUCAAACGUUUGAAUUGUUGGAGUGAAUUUUUUUGUGUAAAUGAAUUGUUGUGAUGUUAUAAACACCAAAUAAUGCAUUUUUGAUGUUUUAAUGAAGGUUAUGUCAUUGUUGAGAAGAGAACUGUCAAACGUUUGAAUUGUUGGGGCGAUUUCUUCGUAUAAAUCUAUUGUUGGGAUGUUACAAACACCAAAUAAUGAAUCUUUAAUGUUGUAAUGAAGGUACGGAAAUUUUUUUAUUAACACUUAAAAUUGAAAUGCAAUCUUUUUAGGUAAAUUGAGAAAUGCAGUUGUGGUUGUGAUAGGAUCCGUCGUUGCCAGUCGUAAUUUUGUGCCGAUAUGGGUUAUUAUCGGUUAGUUCGUCGAGAAUGAGUCAUGCAGUCACCCAACAGCAACAGCUUGACUUCCCGUUGGCUUUCAAGCCGUUUGUUAUGUCUGUAGCUCGAGGUCCCCAUGGGUUUGGUUGAGUUCAUUGGAGAGACAGCGAGUUCGUGUACCAACUGGUAACUUUAGUCAAACAAUAUUAAAAAAGGAAAAUAAACAGAUGGUCGUUUUAAAUUCGU